This 235-nucleotide ribosomal RNA is filed under the name Candidatus Regiella insecticola. RNAcentral's name for it is "partial 23S ribosomal RNA". It matches the Rfam family "Eukaryotic large subunit ribosomal RNA", at positions 171 to 405 of the family's 3401-position model. Lineage: Bacteria; Pseudomonadati; Pseudomonadota; Gammaproteobacteria; Enterobacterales; Enterobacteriaceae. The record is from RNAcentral.
UAUCGCUCGCUUAAGUCCAACUUGAACGGGGCCACACAGAGGGUGACAUGCCCGUGUAGCAGCUGGUACGAAGCGUGUGGGCAUCUCCUCAGAGUCGGUUUGCUUGAAAAUGCAGACCUAAGAGGGUGGUAAACUCCAUCUAAGGCUAAAUAUGACCACGAGACCGAUAGCACACAAGUACCGUGAGGGAAAGGUGAAAAGAACUUUGAAGAGAGAGUUCAAGAGUACGUGAAAC